GAUGAACGCUAGCGGCAGGCUUAAUACAUGCAAGUCGAGGGGUAGCAUGAUUGUAGCAAUACAAUUGAUGACGACCGGCAAACGGGUGCGGAACACGUACACAACCUUCCUACAAGUGGGGAAUAGCCCAGAGAAAUUUGGAUUAAUACCCCCGUAACAUAGCGAUGUGGCAUCACAUUGCUAUUAUAGCUUCGGCGCUUGUUGAUGGGUNUGCGGCUGAUUAGAUAGUUGGCGGGGUAACGGCCCACCAAGUCUACGAUCAGUAGCUGAUGUGAGAGCAUGAUCAGCCACACGGGCACUGAGACACGGGCCCCGACUCCUACGGGAGGCAGCAGUAAGGAAUAUUGGACAAUGGACGCAAGUCUGAUCCAGCCAUGCCGCGUGAAGGAUUAAGGUCCUCUGGAUUGUAAACUUCUUUUAUCUGGGACGAAAAAGGCGAUUCUUCGUCACUUGACGGUACCAGAUGAAU
This 469-nucleotide ribosomal RNA is filed under the name uncultured bacterium. RNAcentral describes it as "bacterial SSU rRNA". It matches the Rfam family "Bacterial small subunit ribosomal RNA", at positions 28 to 487 of the family's 1533-position model. The record is from RNAcentral.